AUGACGAGGGUUGAUCGGAAGUUGAAGAGCGAUAAGUUCGUUGGAGAUGCUUGUGUAUUCCCGGUUGUGGGAUUGCUUCGUAGCUGUGAAGAUGUGAUAGAUGUGUGGGCGACGACUUUGAUGGUGGCUGGUAGUUCUGAAAGGGAGGCGGCGUUAUGGGAGUUGCGAUCGAAAUGGAUGCGCGAAGAUGUUUGCACAACGGCAGGAGGGCGAGUGACGUUGCAAUUCCGCGAUCGAAGUCGCUCGUCGAAGACGCACAGUGGGCUCGUAUCUGGGAAGCUUCGGCCGGCUUGCGGUGGUGGAAGUGUUGCACAGAGAUAUAUGAUUCAUGGAGAGGAUGUAGAGCGCGGGAUCCGAGGCGCAAGGUGUUGA
Molecule: non-coding RNA, 372 nt
Organism: Vicia faba (fava bean)
Lineage: Eukaryota; Viridiplantae; Streptophyta; Magnoliopsida; Fabales; Fabaceae
Source: the annotation of a GenBank genome assembly